Herpailurus yagouaroundi (jaguarundi) is the source of this 507-nucleotide long non-coding RNA. RefSeq lists it as uncharacterized. The record is from RefSeq and is a predicted model, not a curated record. NCBI's taxonomy places the organism in Eukaryota, Metazoa, Chordata, Mammalia, Carnivora, Felidae. The transcript is spliced from 2 exons.
AGCUGUUUCUCUCUCCUCCAGGACUCAUUGCUUCCAUUUGCUUAGCUUAAACUUUGGCUGUUUUGGUGUAAUCAAAGUAGAUACUCUUAGAAACAAGAAAAAAAGCAUGGGAUAGCGAAUUUUGUUUGCAUAAUAACAGAAAGAAAAGCAGAAAAUAAUGCAAAAUGUGGGUCCUUAGGUUAGGGUACUAAAUGCUUUAUUUCACAUGAGAGGGUCCUACUGCUUAUUUACCAGAGGGGGCUGGGGGGGGGGGGGCGGUGAGGAUCUGUAUCAUAAAACAGGAAGCUUGUUUAGAUGGGAAGUCAGGCUGCAAACUUCCUUUAUGACUUCCGACAAAUUGUUUUGCCUGCUUUCAUUGUAUUUAAUUUCUUCAUUUGUUAUGACAUCUUGCAGAAUUGCCUUCUAGGACUUUCGUGAGAACUGGUUUAGUCCAUGAAUGUACUUUGAAGAGGUUUGCAAAAGAGACUAAAGACACUCUAAUGUGAUAGGAUUUAAAAUGAGAUAAAC